AUUGAACGCUGGCGGCAUGCCUUACACAUGCAAGUCGAACGGCAGCACGGGUGCUUGCCCUUGGUGCCGCGUGGGGCACGGGUGUGAUAUACAUCGGUAUACGUGCUGUAGGGGGGGAUCGUCCGGAGACGGCCGGAUUUAUCCCACAUACCCUCUACGGGAGAGAGCGGGAUCCCCUCAGCCCUCGCGAUCUGAGGUUGCUAGGUCGGAUUAGCUAGUUGGUGGGGUAAAGGCCUACCAAGGCGACGAUCAGUAGCUGGUCUGAGAGGAUGACCAGCCACACUGGAACUGAGACACGGCCCAGACUCCUACGGGAGGCAGCAGUGGGGAAUAUUGGACAAUGGGCGAAAGCCUGAUCCAGCAAUGCCGCGUGUGUGAAGAAGGUCUUCGGGUUGUAAAGCACUUUUGGCUGGGAAGAAAUGCAGUGCGCUAAUACCGUCGGGGUUUGACGGUACCGGAAGAAUAAGCACCGGCUAACUACGUG
RNAcentral lists this ribosomal RNA (484 nucleotides) under uncultured bacterium. RNAcentral describes it as "partial 16S ribosomal RNA". It matches the Rfam family "Bacterial small subunit ribosomal RNA", at positions 30 to 507 of the family's 1533-position model. The record is from RNAcentral.